RNAcentral lists this ribosomal RNA (400 nucleotides) under uncultured bacterium. Its description in RNAcentral is "bacterial SSU rRNA". It matches the Rfam family "Bacterial small subunit ribosomal RNA", at positions 355 to 772 of the family's 1533-position model. The record is from RNAcentral.
UGGGGAAUAUUGGACAAUGGGCGAAAGCCUGAUCCAGCAAUGCCGCGUGAGUGAUGAAGGCCUUAGGGUUGUAAAGCUCUUUUACCAGGGAUGAUAAUGACAGUACCUGGAGAAUAAGCUCCGGCUAACUCCGUGCCAGCAGCCGCGGUAAUACGGAGGGAGCUAGCGUUGUUCGGAAUUACUGGGCGUAAAGGGCGCGUAGGCGGCGCGGUAAGUCACUUGUGAAAUCUCUGAGCUUAACUCAGAACGGCCAAGUGAUACUGCAGUGCUAGAGUGUAGAAGGGGCAAUCGGAAUUCUUGGUGUAGCGGUGAAAUGCGUAGAUAUCAAGAGGAACACCUGAGGUGAAGACGGGUUGCUGGUCUAACACUGACGCUGAUGCGCGAAAGCCAGGGGAGCAAA